This 520-nucleotide long non-coding RNA is filed under the name Ursus maritimus (polar bear). Its description in RNAcentral is "lncRNA (ENSUMAG00000012088.1)". The record is from RNAcentral. Lineage: Eukaryota; Metazoa; Chordata; Mammalia; Carnivora; Ursidae.
GGUUUUGGCUCAGGGGUUGGGGCAGGGGUGGGCUUUACUCUUUGUGGGUUCGGAGACUUCGGGUGCGCAGGCAUUUCCCGGGCAUCGCGCCCCAGCCUGUGACAGAAUUGGAAGUGUUCCUCUGCCUGCUCGCCUGCGAGGGGGAGGAUCGCAGGGCUGCGGCCGCAGGAGAGAGAUUUGGACCUAGUGAAAGGACGUCGCCCCUUAGUCCCAGCUAUGGACUCCACAGCAUCAGGCCCAGGAGCAUGAAGUAUCAGUGUCCAGACACCGUGGUAGAAGUGGACGGGAUGGCCACGGAAGACUUCCCAAAGGCCAGAGGAGAGCGGGGAAGAACUGACCUUUAAGCUGGCUUCCCAAGGAUGAGAGGAAAGUUCUCCCUUCUCAGGACCCUGCUCUUCCUCCAGAGAGAUACCCAGGAGAAAAGGGAACAGCCAGUUUAUUCCUGAAAGCCAGGCCCCAGGUGAGUUGAGGUUCUCUUCGUUUUUCCUCAAAUGACUGAACUACGGAUGUCUUUGCCCCC